This 366-nucleotide ribosomal RNA is filed under the name uncultured bacterium. RNAcentral describes it as "bacterial SSU rRNA". It matches the Rfam family "Bacterial small subunit ribosomal RNA", at positions 32 to 390 of the family's 1533-position model. The record is from RNAcentral.
AAUCAACGCUGGCGGCGUGCCUCAGACAUGCAAGUCGAACGCGAAAGUCCCCUUCGGGGGAUGAUUAGAGUGGCGCACGGGUGAGUAACACGUAGGUAAUCUACCUUCGAGUGGGGAAUAACUCAGGGAAACUUGAGCUAAUACCGCAUAAUGCAGCGGCACCACAUGGUGACAGUUGUUAAAGCAUUUAUGCGCUUGAAGAGGAGCCUGCGGCGGAUAGCUAGUUGGUAAGGUAAUGGCUUACCAAGGCUACGAUCUGUAACCGGCCUGAGAGGGCGGACGGUCACACUGACACUGAAUAACGGGUCAGACUCCUACGGGAGGCAGCAGUCGGGAAUUUUGGGCAAUGGGCGAAAGCCUGACCCA